This is a non-coding RNA of Pangasianodon gigas (Mekong giant catfish), 72 nucleotides long. The record is from the annotation of a GenBank genome assembly. Lineage: Eukaryota; Metazoa; Chordata; Actinopteri; Siluriformes; Pangasiidae.
UCUCUGGAGGAUUAGUGGUCAGGCCACGGCACUCUCGCCCGCAUGGCCCGGGUUCGAUUCCCAGCCAGGGAA